CCGGGUGACGUCAUAGACAAUCAGGCCAGCGGCGCGCGCAUUGUGAAGAGCUCUUCCGGAGCAUUUGUCGCAUGAAGCCGAAGGUUUUGACGUCAAAGCUCUUGAAUGCAGAAUUUGCUGCAAACAUUAGCGGUAUGGCAGUUAGAAUUAUUUACAAGAGAGACAUAAGAGACUCAAGAUUACUGAAUCUGGCACUUUAAACAAUCUGCAGGAGGAGCUCAGCGGGUCAGGCAACAUCUGUGGGUGAAGUGAGGGGUCCAUAUUGUCAUCUUGGAACUUGAAUAAUGGUAUUUGGAGUUAAAUUCAUGGGAAGUAGCCUUUGUGACACCAUCAGACAAGAGAAAAUCUGCAGAUGCUGGAAAUCCAAGCAACACACACAAAAUGAUGGAGGAACUCAGCAGGCCAGGCAGCAGCUAUGGAAAGGAGUAUUGUCGACGUUUUGAGCCGAAGAUUUACACAGAACCACUACUGGGGAUAAUAAACAAAAUGUCAGAGAUACAAAGGAAGCUCCACCAAAAUAAUAACUUCAGAGUAACGACUGGAAAGGGAUCAAAGAUAAAUAAAACUUCACA
Molecule: long non-coding RNA, 572 nt
Organism: Mobula hypostoma (lesser devil ray)
Lineage: Eukaryota; Metazoa; Chordata; Chondrichthyes; Myliobatiformes; Myliobatidae
Exons: 4
Source: RefSeq, a predicted model, not a curated record